RNAcentral lists this ribosomal RNA (465 nucleotides) under uncultured Methanomicrobiales archaeon. RNAcentral's name for it is "bacterial SSU rRNA". It matches the Rfam family "Archaeal small subunit ribosomal RNA", at positions 878 to 1338 of the family's 1478-position model. Lineage: Archaea; Methanobacteriati; Methanobacteriota; Methanomicrobia; Methanomicrobiales. The record is from RNAcentral.
ACCACAACAGGUGGAGCCUGCGGUUUAAUCGGACUCAACGCCGGGAAACUCACCAGAUAAGACAGCUGAAUGAUAGUCGGGCUGAAGACUCUACUUGACUAGCUGAGAGGAGGUGCAUGGCCGUCGUCAGUUCGUACUGUGAAGCAUCCUGUUAAGUCAGGCAACGAGCGAGACCCACGCCAACAGUUGCCAGCUCGUCCUCCGGGAUGGUGGGGACGACUGUUGGGACCACCUCUGCUAAAGAGGAGGAAGGGAAAUGGGCAACGGUAGGUCAGCAUGCCCCGAACUUAUCUGGGCUACACGCGGGCUACAAUGGGUGGGACAAUGGGUAUCGACACCGAAAGGUGAAGGCAAUCUCCUAAACCCAUCCGUAGUUCGGAUUGUGGGCUGCAACUCGCCCACAUGAAGCUGGAAUCUGUAGUAAUCGUGUCUCAAAAUGGCACGGUGAAUAUGUCCCUGCUCCUU